GCCCCAGUAGCCCAAUGGCAGAGGCAGAGGACUUAAAAUCCUUGUGUUGUGGGUUCGAGUCCCACCUGGGGUA
This 73-nucleotide transfer RNA is filed under the name Arthrobacter sp. Its description in RNAcentral is "tRNA-Leu". It matches the Rfam family "tRNA". From Rfam's summary of the family: Transfer RNA (tRNA) molecules are approximately 80 nucleotides in length. Lineage: Bacteria; Bacillati; Actinomycetota; Actinomycetes; Micrococcales; Micrococcaceae. RNAcentral also lists the same sequence under 3 other names. The record is from RNAcentral.